GCGGGAAUAGCUCAGUUGGUAGAGCAUAACCUUGCCAAGGUUGGGGUCGAGAGUUCGAGUCUCUUUUCCCGCUCCA
RNAcentral lists this transfer RNA (76 nucleotides) under Acinetobacter sp. RNAcentral's name for it is "tRNA-Gly". It matches the Rfam family "tRNA". Rfam says of the family: Transfer RNA (tRNA) molecules are approximately 80 nucleotides in length. Their secondary structure includes four short double-helical elements and three loops (D, anti-codon, and T loops). Further hydrogen bonds mediate the characteristic L-shaped molecular structure. tRNAs have two regions of fundamental functional importance: the anti-codon, which is responsible for specific mRNA codon recognition, and the 3' end, to which the tRNAs corresponding amino acid is attached (by aminoacyl-tRNA synthetases). tRNAs cope with the degeneracy of the genetic code in two manners: having more than one tRNA (with a specific anti-codon) for a particular amino acid; and 'wobble' base-pairing, i.e. permitting non-standard base-pairing at the 3rd anti-codon position. RNAcentral also lists the same sequence under 22 other names. Lineage: Bacteria; Pseudomonadati; Pseudomonadota; Gammaproteobacteria; Moraxellales; Moraxellaceae. The record is from RNAcentral.